Molecule: transfer RNA, 69 nt
Filed under: Ictidomys tridecemlineatus (thirteen-lined ground squirrel)
Lineage: Eukaryota; Metazoa; Chordata; Mammalia; Rodentia; Sciuridae
Description: Spermophilus tridecemlineatus (thirteen-lined ground squirrel) tRNA
Rfam family: tRNA
About the family: Transfer RNA (tRNA) molecules are approximately 80 nucleotides in length.
Source: Rfam by way of RNAcentral
GGAGUUGUGGCUCAGUAGUAGAGCACUUGCCUAGUAUGCGUGAGGCACUGAGUUCAAUCCUUAGCACCA